RNAcentral lists this transfer RNA (71 nucleotides) under Neotoma lepida (desert woodrat). It matches the Rfam family "tRNA". From Rfam's summary of the family: Transfer RNA (tRNA) molecules are approximately 80 nucleotides in length. The record is from Rfam by way of RNAcentral. Lineage: Eukaryota; Metazoa; Chordata; Mammalia; Rodentia; Cricetidae.
GCCCAGCUAGCUCAGUUGGUAGAGCAUGAGACUCUUAAUCUCAGGGUCUGGUUCAUGCCCCACGUUGGGCG